Molecule: unclassified non-coding RNA, 240 nt
Filed under: soil metagenome
Description: partial contains 5.8S ribosomal RNA, internal transcribed spacer 2, and large subunit ribosomal RNA
Source: RNAcentral
AACGGUCUAUACCUGCGGUACCUGCGGAGGGAUCAUUACUGAAUUGAUUUUGGGGAUGUUGCUGGUCUCUUGAGGCAUGGUGCACUCCCUCAAACAUUUCACAAUUUCCAUCUUACCCAUGUGCACAUCCUGUAGGUGGUCUCCCAACCCACCCUCCAAGGAAAGGGGGGGAGUGUGUGGGUCUGGUCUCCUAUGUAUUUCCUUGCCAACAUCACACGUUUUGACUGAAUGAAUCCUGUG